Molecule: ribosomal RNA, 497 nt
Filed under: uncultured bacterium
Lineage: Bacteria
Description: partial 16S ribosomal RNA
Rfam family: Bacterial small subunit ribosomal RNA
Source: RNAcentral
GACGAACGCUGGCGGCGUGCCUAAUACAUGCAAGUUGAGCGCUGAAGGUUGGUACUUGUGCCGACUUGAUGAGCAGCGAACGGGUGUGUAACGCGUGUGAAAUCUGCCUUUCAGCGGGGGACAACCUUUGGAAACGAGUGCUAAUACCGCAUAAAAUCUUUCAACACAAGUUUUAAGUUUGAAAUAUGCCAUUGCAUCACUCAAUGAUGAUCUCGCGUUGUAUUAGCUAGUUGGUGGGGUAAAGGAGCACCAAGGCGAUGUUACAUAGCCGAACUGAGAGGGUGAGCGGCCAGACUGGGAGGGAGACAGGGCCCAAAGUGCUACGGGAGGCAGCAGUAGGGAAUCGGCGGCAAUGGACGAAAGUCUGACCGAGCAACGCCGCGUGCGUGAAGAAGGUCUUCGGAUCGUAAAACACUGUUGGUAGAGAAGAACGCUGGUGAGAGUGGAAAGCUCAUCAAGUGACGGUAACUACCCAGAAAGGGACGGCUAACUACGUG